Camellia sinensis is the source of this 368-nucleotide non-coding RNA. The record is from RefSeq and is a predicted model, not a curated record. Lineage: Eukaryota; Viridiplantae; Streptophyta; Magnoliopsida; Ericales; Theaceae.
GAAAAAUGUAUUUGAGGAAGUUGGUUGUUUUUUUGUAAUGUUCACUUGAUUUCAAUCCUUUUUUUAGCUUUUCAAGUGGCUGCAAGGGAAUUACUUGAGCAUUCCACCACUGUUGUCACAGGUAAGAUGGAUAGGGAGUUCAAACAAACCAAUAAUGCUGAUAAUCCCUGGGGCCACAGUUAUAUUCACAGUUGAAGAUGAUGUUUCUUCAUCCUAAUCUUACUGUUUGGUGUGGUAUUGAGCCCUUUGUGGCUCACUACUACUCUUUUCAAAUAAUUGUAAGAUGGUACUUUGUAAAAUCAAGAUGGGUUAUUAUUAUGAAUAAAAUUCAACUCAAGGGUUUCCAAGGCUCUUGUUUUUAAUUUGUU